GAUAAUGGCUCAGGAUGAACGCUGGCGGCGUGCUUAACACAUGCAAGUCGAACGAAGCACUUAAGAUUGAUUCUUCGGAUGACGUCUUUUGUUGACUUAGUGGCGGACGGGUGAGUAACGCGUGGGUAACCUGCCUCACACAGGGGGAGUAACAGUUAGAAAUGACUGCUAAUACCGCAUAACCCGAUAGGAUCGCAUGAUCCAGACGGAAAAGAUUUAUCGGUGUGAGAUGGACCCGCGU
Molecule: ribosomal RNA, 241 nt
Filed under: uncultured bacterium
Lineage: Bacteria
Description: partial 16S ribosomal RNA
Rfam family: Bacterial small subunit ribosomal RNA
Source: RNAcentral